RNAcentral lists this ribosomal RNA (497 nucleotides) under uncultured bacterium. RNAcentral describes it as "partial 16S ribosomal RNA". It matches the Rfam family "Bacterial small subunit ribosomal RNA", at positions 28 to 507 of the family's 1533-position model. The record is from RNAcentral.
GAUGAACGCUGGCGGCGUGCCUAAUACAUGCAAGUCGAGCGAACAGACGAGGCGCUUGCUCCUCUGACGUUAGCGGCGGACGGGUGAGUAACACGUGGAUAACCUACCUAUAAGACUGGGAUCACUUCGGGAAACCGGAGCUAAUACCGGAUAAUAUAUUGAACCGCAUGGUUCAAUAGUGAAAGACGGCUUUGCUGUCACUUAUAGAUGGAUCCGCGCCGCAUUAGCUAGUUGGUAAGGUAACGGCUUACCAAGGCAACGAUGCGUAGCCGACCUGAGAGGGUGAUCGGCGACACUGGAACUGAGACACGGUCCAGACUCCUACGGGAGGCAGCAGUAGGGAAUCGUCCGCAAUGGGCGAGAGCCUGACGGAGCAACGCCGCGUGAGUGAUGAAGGUCUUCGGAUCGUAAAACUCUGUUAUUAGGGAAGAACAAAUGUGUAAGUAACUAUGCACGUCUUGACGGUACCUAAUCAGAAAGCCACGGCUAACUACGUG